RNAcentral lists this ribosomal RNA (918 nucleotides) under uncultured Zetaproteobacteria bacterium. RNAcentral's name for it is "bacterial SSU rRNA". It matches the Rfam family "Bacterial small subunit ribosomal RNA", at positions 1 to 913 of the family's 1533-position model. Lineage: Bacteria; Pseudomonadati; Pseudomonadota; Candidatius Mariprofundia. The record is from RNAcentral.
UUUUUUGUCAUGCUCAARWYGAMRACGCKGGCGGGCGUGGCCUAACACAUGCAAGUCGAACGGUAACAGGGACUUCGGUCCGCUGACGAGUGGCGCACGGGUGAGUAACGCGUGGAGUUACCUACCCAUCAGUGGGGAAAAACUCCGGGAAACCGGGGCUAAUACCGCAUACGACCUUCGGGUGAAAGAGGGGGAUCUUCGGACCUCUCGCUGAUGGAUGGUUCCGCGUCCGAUUAGUUAGUUGGUAAGGUAAUGGCUUACCAAGACGAUGAUCGGUAGCUGGUCUGAGAGGAUGAUCAGUCACACUGGAACUGAGACACGGUCCAGACUCCUACGGGAGGCAGCAGUGGGGAAUUUUGCACAAUGGGCGAAAGCCUGAUGCAGCGACGCCGCGUGCGGGAAGAAGGCCUUCGGGUUGUAAACCGCUUUCAACAGGGAAGAAGGAAUGAGGGUUAAUACCCCUCUGCCUUGACGGUACCUGUAGAAGAAGCCCCGGCUAAUUUCGUGCCAGCAGCCGCGGUAAUACGAAAGGGGCAAGCGUUGUUCGGAUUUACUGGGCGUAAAGAGAUCGUAGGUGGCUUGUUAAGUCGGAUGUGAAAUCCCGGGGCUCAACCCCGGAACUGCAUUCGAUACUGGCAGGCUUGAGUUCGGGAGGGGUAAGCGGAAUUCCGUGUGUAGCAGUGAAAUGCGUAGAUAUACGGAGGAACACCUGAGGCGAAGGCGGCUUACUGGACCGAUACUGACACUGAGGAUCGAAAGCGUGGGUAGCAAACAGGAUUAGAUACCCUGGUAGUCCACGCCCUAAACGAUGUCUACUAGCCGUUGCGGGUAUCGACCCCUGCAGUGGCGCAGCUAACGCAAUAAGUAGACCGCYKGGGGGAGUACSGSCGCMCWMUGGCUAAAACUAAAGGAUAGUAG